AACGCAUAUUGCGCUCUCUGGUAUUCCGGAGAGCAUGCUUGUUUGAGUAUCAGUAAACACCUCAACUCCCUUUUUUUCUUUUUUGAAAUGAGGGAGCUGGACUUGAGUGAUCCCAACACUUUUCUUCACUGAAAAGUGGCGGGUCACUUGAAAUGCAGGUGCAGCUGGACUUUUCUCUGAGCUAUAAGCAUAUCUAUUUAGUCUGCCUAAAAAACAGAUUAUUACCUUUGCUGCAGCUAACAUAAAGGAGAUGAGUUCUUGUGCUGACUGAUGCAGGAUUCACAAAGACAGCUUCGCGGCUGACUUUGUAAACUCGAUCUCAAAUCAAGUAAGACUACCCGCUGAACUUAA
RNAcentral lists this unclassified non-coding RNA (351 nucleotides) under uncultured Mortierella. Its description in RNAcentral is "sequence contains ITS2". The stretch from base 1 to 52 matches the Rfam family "5.8S ribosomal RNA", at positions 103 to 154 of the family's 154-position model. The record is from RNAcentral. Lineage: Eukaryota; Fungi; Mortierellomycota; Mortierellomycetes; Mortierellales; Mortierellaceae.